UGCUCAACCAAUAGGAACUCGUGUGUCUGAUAUAUUUCCUCACUACGACCACACUCUUUACCACAAGACGGAUGCUUGCAAGUCAUAAACAUUUAUUAUUUGUGAUUUAAAAACGCACGAUGAUCUAAGCCACGUUACCACGUCUGGAAAACAGAAAAAAAAUGCUGAUUAACAUCCUGUUUUAAUUGAGUAUAAAGCGCGCUCACCUAUCGGUGAUGGGAUAUUACGAUAGCAAACACUGAAGGACAAGUUUGAUCAUGAAGACUGCUUGCCUAAUUGUUCUCUUGGUCACGUGCGUUUUGUUUGCCAGUAUGCCACAUGCUGAAGCCCAGAACAAUUACUUCCCACGUGGUGGUAAUAAUUGCGUGUGCAGAAAUCAGUGACACAGAGGAGAGUGGCAGGCAGGUAGAUGUUCUUGGAAUAGUAUCAGAUGUUGCAGCAGGGGUAACAUCCCCUAUUAGAAGUCAGCCGUCCAUAAGAAACCCAUGAAGUUGGAUUAUUGAGACAUCGAAUUAUACAAUAAAGUUCAACUUAUGUAGAGUUUUUGUUGUCACUCGAAUAUAACAGCUUCAUUUACAUUUUCAUUAUUACUUACAUGUAUUACGCUCUACGUGACGUGCUUCAACGUUCGUUUGCAAUUUAGAUCUAGCUGUGCUACAAA
This is a long non-coding RNA of Dreissena polymorpha, 661 nucleotides long. RefSeq lists it as uncharacterized. The record is from RefSeq and is a predicted model, not a curated record. The transcript has 3 exons. Lineage: Eukaryota; Metazoa; Mollusca; Bivalvia; Myida; Dreissenidae.